This 213-nucleotide long non-coding RNA is filed under the name Trifolium pratense (red clover). Its description in RNAcentral is "long non-coding RNA (TPRA_LNC012086)". Lineage: Eukaryota; Viridiplantae; Streptophyta; Magnoliopsida; Fabales; Fabaceae. The record is from RNAcentral.
GAGUUGUUAAAUGCAUUUUCAAUGCACAUGACCGUUGUGAAAAUACAAUGCAUUUUUAAUGAUUAAAAAAAAGAAAAACUAUGGCAAAAAGAAAGUAGAAGCGUUACUACUAGUAUGAACGUGUCUGCAACAAGGAAUGGAAUUGAAGGCUAAAUAUCCAAAGCACUCUGACAUGUGCCUCUUGGCAAAUGUGUAGACACGGUCUCAAUAUGA